This is a long non-coding RNA of Pseudophryne corroboree (corroboree frog), 6256 nucleotides long. RefSeq lists it as uncharacterized. Lineage: Eukaryota; Metazoa; Chordata; Amphibia; Anura; Myobatrachidae. The record is from RefSeq and is a predicted model, not a curated record. The transcript is spliced from 4 exons.
UUAUUUUUUGUUUAAAGUCUUCUCUGCGUUUAUUGACUGUUUGGGGAAUCCUUGCCUCUCCGCUGGGAUGUAGUACAGUAUAGACCUACAGCAGAAGCAAGAAUCUUGUGAACUCCUAUACAAGAUGCAGACGUAAUCCGGCUGUACACAAAAGUGAAGAUUAAUCAGAGUACAGUCAUAAUGAUGUUAAUGGUGGCAGUGACAAAACUCUUUGACCUUUCCCUUUGAUAUUUGAUGUUGCCAAAUAUCAUAAUCAGCUUGCAUUUUUGUGACAUUUCAAUGAGAAGGCUCGGGGACGCCGGUCAUGUGGAGGGCGUGUCAGACCAGGAAGCAGGUAAUCCGGUCAUGUGGAACGCAUGUCAGCAGUCACCAUGGAUAUGGUUUCUGUCUCCACGGGAAGCGCGUCAUCGCGGCUAGCCGGUGCUGGGAUCCCUGAUGAAUGGACGUGGACAGGUAACCUGCAACUUUAUCUCACUCCUGCAACAAUCUCUCACUCCUGCAACUUUACAUGCUUAUUUGUAUUGUGCUAGGUAACCUGCAACUUUAUCUCACUCCUGCAACAAUCUCUCACUCCUGCAACUUUACAUGCUUAUUUGAAUUGUACUAGGUAACCUGCAACAGUGCAACUUUAUUUAUAAUUAGUUAUUCUAAGCCACUACUAAAGUAGGAAAUCACUGUGUACUAGUGGGGGAUGUACUGGUCUGUUGAUGUUCACACCUAGUGCUAUCCUUUUGUUGUGGGUGGAGUUUCAGAGGGUGGGUGCUGUUAGCAAUCAAGCCUGUAUCCAUGUGUGCAUUUAUAUUUUAUUAGUACAUAUUUGGCUGCAAAGCCACUGGCUGCAAAGCAUCUUAGCUGCUAAGUAUGUUAGUGUUAAAUAUGAGGAUAUGAACUUUGGAGCUACACGGACAUAAACAGGAGAGAAACAGAAGGACAGCAGACUAUCUUCCCCACCUCCACAAAAGAACUGCAAACAAAAUACUAGAGCGUUACCUAAUCCACUACCACCAAUGCCUGCAGACUGCAUAGCCUGGACACUGACCUCCCUGUCUGAUUAAGUAACAGCCCUACUGCACUCACAUGCUUUCUGAAUCUCAUUUAUAUUAUCUACAACCACUGUGUAACAAUCUCAGCCUUUCUGAUCCUUCCAUUAUUUUCCAAAAAUCCUGUUUGCACUGUCUCUGCUCUUUCUACACCCCCCUUCUCAUUGUUUGUUCUAUAUUACACCCACUCCAUUCUAUAUUAUUCCUCUGAACAACACUACUGUACUGUUGUGGCUGCUCGAUCCUGUUCUAUACCAAAUCUCCCUGCUAGGUCACAUCCCCCAAUUUCCAGACCACUCUCAUUCAGAACCCAUCAAACCUGAUCCACAUCUUCCCUGUCCCCUCCCUUCCUUUCUCCUGUGCACUCUGGAAUGCUAGAUCAAUCUGCAACAUGCUGCCAACUAUCCAUGACCUCUUCAUCUCACACUCAUUUACCCUUCUUGCCGUCACUGAAACCUGGCUCUCCUCCUCUGACACCACCUCCCCUGCUGCCCUCUCCUAUGGAGGCCUCUCCUUCACCCACACAGUCAGACCUGAUGAAUGCCAGGGUGGAGGCGUAGGCAUCCUUCUCUCCCCAAACUGCACCUUUUGUGUUAUCCCACCUGAGCCCUCCCACCUUUGAGGUCCACACUAUCCGCCUCUUCCACCCCAUUCACCUCCAUGUGGCUGUGAUCUAUCACCCUCCUGGCCUCUGUUCAUCUUUCUUUGACAACUUUGCUGCCUGGCUUCCCCACUUUCUCUCCUCUGACCUCCCCUCUAUCAUCCUCGGUGACUUUAACAUCCGUAUUGACAUCACUAAUACAGCUUCCAAUAAUCUUCUUGCCCUUUCCACCUCCUUUGGACUUUCUCAAUGGACCUCCACCCCUACUCACAAUCUCGGCCACUCCCUCGAUCUUGUCUUCCCCCACUGAUGUGAUCUUUCUGAUUUCUUAAACUCUUCCUUCCCUCUCUCUGUCCACUAUCUGCUUUCUUUCUCCCUCUCAUCUUCCCCUCUCCUCUCCACACCCAGACCCACCAUCAACUGAUGCAAUCUCAGGUCUCUCAAUCCCGCUAUCCUGUCCUCCCUCGAGACUUUCCUCUCUCCUCUUUCCACUAUGACUUGUCCCAACCAGGCAACCUCCUUCUAUAACUCUUCCCUUACCACUGCUCUCGACUCUGUGGCCCCCCCUCUCCUCUGCCCCCCUCCACUGCUCCAAACCCCAACCCUGGCACUCCAAACUAACAUGAUUCCUACAAAAAUGUUCACACUCCGCAAUGUUCCUGGAGGAAAUCUCACUCUCUGGUUGACUUCCUCCAUUUCAAGUUUAUUCUCUCCUCCUACAGCUCUGCUCUUUCUCUCGUCACGCAAUCCUUUUUGCAAGUACUCAUCCUCCCCUCCCAUCCUCCCUCACUGCCACUGACUUUGCCUCCUUCUUCAUCUUCAAAAUUGAGGAUAUCCAACAUGACAUCUCCUCCCAUCACCCCUCUGCUGCCCCCCUGCCCCCAUCAUCCCUCCCCUCCAUUUAUCCCAUCCUGUCCUGCUUCUGUCCCACAUCAGACAAGGAAGUACACACCCUCAUCUUAUCCUCCCCCUCAGCCUGCCUUCUGGAGCCCCCUCCCGUCUUCUCUGCUCCCUCUCCACCACUGAGAAGAGAAAGAGAAAUACAUCUGCACACUUGAUGAUCUAACUUGAAGAUUUAAUGUAUUUACAAGACCCCAAUGUGCGUGUGUCUUAAAUUAGACUUUAAGCCUCUUUGGGGGUGCGACCCUAGGUGGGGAAGAGAUCUCAAACGUGGUAUUCCACAGAUCCUACCGCAUCUUUAUACUAGAUGCAGUAAUAAUAAUAAAGCUGGGUUAAGAUGACAGAUAUUCAUCAAGUCUAACCAGGGACGUGUAAACCCUAUCGAGUUUGUGUCCUGAGUGGUUCCUGUUUCACACAGAAAUUAAUUAUACUAGUUGCAGGAGUCAUUGUGGUGAUCCCACUUUUUAGAAUCUAUUUCACUUAACUUUCUUUUCUUCACCACGUAUAUGUUUGUAUAUGUCAUAUUUUAACCUCUAUAUUUUGCUGUAUGUGUCCCAUGACAAGGACCCUCUGAAUAUUAAUAGAAGCAAUAAAAGCUACGUUUUAUUUUUGAUAACUAAUCCAACAAAAUUGACACAGUGCACCCAACUCAACAACCACUUCUUUAGUUCCCUCUCCACCACUGCCUGCUCCCACCUUGCUCUCCUCUUUAACCUAUCGCUCUCUACCAUCAUCUUUUCCUCACCAUUUAAACAUGCUCUGGUCUCACCUAUUCUAAAAAACCCAACCUCGACCCUUCAUCACUAACUAGCUACUGCCCCAUUUCUCUUCUCCCAUUCGCCUGCAAACUACUUGAAUGACUGGUAUACAGCUGUCUCAUAAGCUACCUCUCUGACAACUCCAUCCUUGAUCCACUACAAUCUGGCUUUCACCCACUCCACCGAGACAGUCCUGGUGAAAGUCACCAAUGCCCUGCUUUCGACCAAAUCCAGGGGCCACUUCUCUCUGCUCAUCCUUCUGGACCUCUCUGUUACCUUUGACACCAUGGAUCAUCCUCUCCUACUCUGCACACUCCAAAACAUUGGCCUCUCUAGCACCAUCCUUGACUGGUUUACCUCUUACCUCACUAAUCGCUCCUUCUCUGUGUCUGCCUCCACCACCACAUCACACCCUUCCAUCCUUCCUGUUAGUGUCCCUCAGGGUUCUGUCCUAGGCCCCCUUCUGUUCUCCCUGUACACUUUUUUCCUGGGUGCGCUUAUUAACUCCUUUGGCCUUCAAUACCACCUCUAUGCUGAUGACACACAACUCUACCUCUCCUCUCCUGAUUUGUCCCUCUCUGUCUUCUCUCAGAUUUCCACCUGCCUAACCGCCAUCUCCUCCUGGAUGUCUAAGUACUCUCUGAAGCUCAACGGACAAAACUGAACUCAUUAUCUUCCCCCAGCCAGAGCAACACCCCCUACCAAUAUCUCUAUCACUGUUGACAACACCAUCAUCUCCCCAUUCCCCAACUCCACUGCCUGAGUGUCACUCUUGACUCCUCCCACUCUUUUGCACCCCACAUCCAAGUUCUGGCGCAAUCCUGUCAGUUCCAACUACGCAACAUUGCUUGCAUCAGGCCAUUUCUCUCCCAGAGUGCAACUAAACUUAUCAUCCACUCACUUGUCAUCUCACGACUGGACUACUGCAAUGUUCUCCUCACUUGCCUCCCUUGCUCCCAUCUCGCUCCCCUCCAAUCUGUCCUCAACUCCGCAGCUAGGCUUAUCUUCCUUUCCCACUGCUCCACAUCUGCAACUCCCCUUUGACAAAACUGGCUCCCAUUCCCCUACAGAAUCCUCUUCAAACUCCUCACCCUCACAUACAAGGCCAUCUCUAAUUCCACUGCUCCCCAUAUCUCCAACCUCCUCUCCCUUCAUAUUCCCUCCCACCCAGUAUGGUCGGCCAAUUACCAUCACCUCUCCUCUGCCCUGGUCACUGCUUCUCAUGCAUGAGUUCAAGAUUUUGCCCUUGCUGCACCCCUUCAGUGGAAUGCACUACCCUGCUCCAUAUGACUCUCCACGACCUUGCAAAGCUUCAAACGGGCACUGAAAACCCACCUAUUCAUCAAAGCGUACCCUUCCAAUGCAUAACUUAGUCCUGAGGCUGCUCCUCCAUCCCCCUGCCUCAUGCCUUGAACAUCUAUGCUUUGAUUACAUACUGCCAUCAGGCUACCUCCCGCUUGCUUGCACCUCAUGUCAUCUGUCUGUUGCUCCCCUUCCCACUAGAUUGUUAGCUCUUCAGAGCAGGGCCCUCUCUCCUCUUGUUGUCAAAGCCUUCUUCUUGCAGCUCUCUCCUACUCAGUGACCAUCUUUACACAUUUUCUCCUACUGGUAAAGGCUCUUCUCUAUCUAUGGCUACCAGCCCCAAGUAGUACGAUGAUUACUCCCUCGCUAGUUACAUCUUAGCGGUAUUAUGUUUUGAGAAUUGUGGUGCUCUUUGUUACCUGUACUCUAUUUUUGUUAUUUAUUUACUGUAAUGCUAAGUUUUGUCUCCCUGUACUGUCCUUUGUACGGUGCUGCAAAACACUUGUGGCAUCCUAUAAAUAAAAUGUAAUAAAAAUAAUAAUAAUAAUAUGAAGUUAAACAGACUAACAACAUAGAACAGUCUGACGAUACUUGAAACACGGGAAAGUUUACUCUAUUCUUUAAAUUAAGAAACACAUAUGGCUAGAUUUUGUUUUUAUCAGUAAUCAACAGCCCUCCACAGUACCGAUAUAGAGGAUAUAUUGCUUUUUCUAUAGCCCCUAAUAAGCUUUCAUUGAUACUUGGUGUUAAAGUGUAGACUGUUUUAUCAGUAAGUGGUGUUAUAAAGAAAAGACUAUACUACUGGUGCUUAAAAUGUUUUAUUUUCAAUAUAAAUUUUAUAAACACCUAAGUUUGAUUUUAACAACACUCUGCCUUGAGUAAAAGAAGAUCCAGUGAAACAUGCCUUAAUAUAACAGCUGGUUGGGUUAGUGUUUUUCUAUUGUUUUGGAAUAAUGUUCAGUUAAAACUUAGAAGCUACUGGUUUUUAUCAAGAAAACAAGGCAUGGCUACUCUAAAUUGAGGUGUAGUUACAUCAAAUAAGGCAGCAUGUCAUGAUUUCAGGGAAUUUUUUAAAUUCAUCUAUCAAGCUGUUAAUACCAAUGAUACUGUAGAUCUGUUUUGGUGAUAACCAACCCUGGUGAAAUGUGUCACUAAGUUUUACUGGUAAUUGCAUCCACUAGCUAUUUAACAAGUGGUACCUGGUCUGCCACAAUCGUUCUUCUGUUAUUGCCAUCUUGGCAUUUUGUUAUUGACAUUAGGCAAUAGUAAAAAUUGUUGUGUUGUGUCAAUAGACAGCGUCAAGAGAACAUCAUCAUUAUUUAUGUUUUUAUUAAUAGUUCUGAGUGGAUUUUUACAUAGAGAACACACAUAUAAAAGAUCUCAUAUAAAGAAAAAAGAUAUUUCUUUGUUGAGUUAUAUUUAAAAUGGCUUUCAUGGCAAAAGUAAUGAUUGAGGUAAUGCACAUUUAAACCAUGUUCCUGUUUUGACACUCAACUUGACAUGAAGUAGUUAUUUAAUUGUAUAGGGAGUGAAUAAGUGGAGAAAUGUGUAAAAAAAAAGGCUUUGUGUAGUCUUCAUUGUUGAAAGCCCAGUGACCCUAAAAUUGGGAUGUGUAAAAUAACAAAAAUAUCAACUAAAUUGUUUUUUAAUCAGAA